This 756-nucleotide ribosomal RNA is filed under the name uncultured bacterium. RNAcentral describes it as "bacterial SSU rRNA". It matches the Rfam family "Bacterial small subunit ribosomal RNA", at positions 8 to 796 of the family's 1533-position model. The record is from RNAcentral.
AGAGUUUGAUCAUGGCUCAGAAUCAACGCUGGCGGCGCGCUUAACACAUGCAAGUCGCACGAGAAAGUGGAGCAAUCCAUGAGUACAGUGGCGUACGGGUGAGUAACACGUGGAUCAUCUACCUCUUGGUGGGGAAUAACCCUGGGAAACCGGGGCUAAUACCGCAUAAGCCUGCGAAGGGAAAGCAGCAAUGCGCCGAGAGAGGAGUCCGCGGCCGAUUAGCUGGUUGGUAGGGUAACGGCCUACCAAGGCAAUGAUCGGUAGCCGGCCUGAGAGGGCACACGGCCACACUGGCACUGAAACACGGGCCAGACUCCUACGGGAGGCAGCAGUGGGGAAUCUUGCACAAUGGGGGAAACCCUGAUGCAGCGACGCCGCGUGAGCGAUGAAGCCCUUCGGGGUGUAAAGCUCUUUCGGCAGGAACGAUAAUGACGGUACCUGCAGAAGAAGCUGCGGCUAACUACGUGCCAGCAGCCGCGGUAAUACGUAGGCAGCAAGCGUUGUUCGGAAUUACUGGGCGUAAAGAGUGUGUAGGCGGUUCUCUAAGUUCCGUGUGAAAUCUCCCGGCUUAACUGGGAGGGUGCGCGGAAAACUGGAGGGCUGGAGUAUGGGAGAGGAAAGCGGAAUUCCUGGUGUAGCGGUGAAAUGCGUAGAUAUCAGGAGGAACACCUGCGGUGUAGACAGCUUUCUGGACCAUCACUGACGCUGAGACACGAAAGCGUGGGUAGCAAACAGGAUUAGAUACCCCCGUAGUCC